RNAcentral lists this ribosomal RNA (437 nucleotides) under uncultured bacterium. RNAcentral's name for it is "partial 16S ribosomal RNA". It matches the Rfam family "Bacterial small subunit ribosomal RNA", at positions 28 to 507 of the family's 1533-position model. The record is from RNAcentral.
GAUGAACGCUGGCGGCAUGCCUAACACAUGCAAGUCGAACGGGAAGUGAUUAUUCCAGUGGCCGACGGGGUAGUAAGUCGUAAGCACCUGCGCUUGGGAGGGGAACAUAAGCUGGCAAGGGGUGCUAAUAACCCGUAGGCAGCGGAACAAAAGAAGGCAUCAUCCUGAGGAGGGGCUGGAGCUUGAUUAGCUAGUUGGUGAGGCAAUAGCUUACCAAGGCGAUGAUCAGUAGCGGGUCCGAGAGGAACAUCAGCCACACUGGGACUGGGGCACGGAGCAGGCUCCUACGGGAAGCAGCAGUAGGGAAUUUCCCGCAAUGGGCGAAAGGCUGACGGGGCAAUGGCGCGUGGAGGUAGAUGGGCUACGGGUCGAGAGCUUCUGUUCCCGAAGAAGAAGCAAUGACGGUAUCUGAGGAAUAAGCAUCGGCUAACUCCGUG